AAGGAUUGAGUGCCUCCGGGGAGCCCGGUGGACAGGUGCUGCAUGGCUGUCGUCGGCUCGUGUCGUGAGAUGUUGGGUUAAGUCCCGCAACGAGCGCAACCCUUAUCUUUAGUUACCAUCAUUAAGUUGGGGACUCUAAAGAUACUGCCCCGGUUAACGGGGAGGAAGGUGGGGAUGACGUCAAGUCCUCAUGGCCUUUAUGUCCAGGGCUACACACGUGCUACAAUGGGUUGUACAAAGGGUUGCGAACUCGCGAGAGUAAGCCAAUCCCAAAAAGCAACUCUUAGUUCGGAUUGGAGUCUGCAACUCGACUCCAUGAAGCUGGAAUCGCUAGUAAUCGUGGAUCAGCAUGCCACGGUGAAUACGUUCCCGGGCCUU
This 378-nucleotide ribosomal RNA is filed under the name uncultured Desulfobacteraceae bacterium. Its description in RNAcentral is "bacterial SSU rRNA". It matches the Rfam family "Bacterial small subunit ribosomal RNA", at positions 1005 to 1382 of the family's 1533-position model. Lineage: Bacteria; Pseudomonadati; Thermodesulfobacteriota; Desulfobacteria; Desulfobacterales; Desulfobacteraceae. The record is from RNAcentral.